Molecule: ribosomal RNA, 491 nt
Filed under: uncultured bacterium
Lineage: Bacteria
Description: partial 16S ribosomal RNA
Rfam family: Bacterial small subunit ribosomal RNA
Source: RNAcentral
GUGAACGCUGGCGGUAGGCCUAACACAUGCCAGUCGAACCGCAGCACAGUAAGAGCUUGCUCUUACGGGUGGCGAGUGGCGGACGGGUGAGGAAUACAUCGGAAUCUACUUUUUCGUGGGGGAUAACGUAGGGAAACUUACGCUAAUACCGCAUACGACCUACGGGUGAAAGCAGGGGAUCUUCGGACCUUGCGCGAUUGAAUGAGCCGAUGUCGGAUUAGCUAGUUGGCGGGGUAAAGGCCCACCAAGGCGACGAUCCGUAGCUGGUCUGAGAGGAUGAUCAGCCACACUGGAACUGAGACACGGUCCAGACUCCUACGGGAGGCAGCAGUGGGGAAUAUUGGACAAUGGGCGCAAGCCUGAUCCAGCCAUACCGCGUGGGUGAAGAAGGCCUUCGGGUUGUAAAGCCCUUUUGUUGGGAAAGAAAAGCAGCAGGUUAAUACCCCGCUGUUCUGACGGUACCCAAAGAAUAAGCACCGGCUAACUUCGUG